AUAACCCUCUUUCAUUUGUCGCCCAAACUCUUCUGUAUCUCUAUUUCUUUUCAUAAAAUUAUAAAUAAAUGUUCACAUCGGACAAGAUAUACAUAAAUUACAAAGAAAGAUGUGCUUGAACCCAAGAAGAGUAGAAGACCGUCAAGCGUUACAACUUACAAAGAUGUAGCAGCAUUAAUCCCUACCAACUUUUUUUCUUGAAUGGCUAUAAUCCCUACCAAGUUGAUAAUAUGGCCAUGUUCUCUCUCUCUCUCUUCAUGGUCGCACCAAGUAAAAAGAGGAAAAUACGGCCACAAGUAAAACGUGAAAUACCGCAAGUCCCAACCCAUGUAUAAACACAAAUCAGGAGUUCCUUAUGACACAUCAUCCUACACUCAUUCAGUUACAAUAACUUCUGUUCUUUCCUUACACCCUGCAUGUCACAUGCAUCACCUCUUGCUACAAUAUCACUCUACAAAACUUCUCGCCAUACACCUUAACCAUAUACUAGUAGACAAAGACCAGGCGGGAAAUGCAUGGGAGCUCUAGGGUGCCACAAANNNNN
RNAcentral lists this long non-coding RNA (544 nucleotides) under Hordeum vulgare. RNAcentral's name for it is "long non-coding RNA (HVUL_LNC017888)". The record is from RNAcentral. Lineage: Eukaryota; Viridiplantae; Streptophyta; Magnoliopsida; Poales; Poaceae.